RNAcentral lists this ribosomal RNA (254 nucleotides) under uncultured bacterium. RNAcentral's name for it is "partial 16S ribosomal RNA". It matches the Rfam family "Bacterial small subunit ribosomal RNA", at positions 524 to 776 of the family's 1533-position model. The record is from RNAcentral.
UACGGGGGGAGCAAGCGUUGUUCGGAUUUACUGGGCGUAAAGGGCGCGUAGGCGGCCAGCACAAGUCAGUUGUGAAAUCUCCGAGCUUAACUCGGAAAGGUCAACUGAUACUGUGCGGCUAGAGUGCGGAAGGGGCAACUGGAAUUUACGGUGUAGCGGUGAAAUGCGUAGAUAUCGUAAGGAAGACCAGUGGCGAAGGCGGGUCUCUGGACAGUUCCUGACGCUGAGGCACGAAGGUCAGGGGAGCAAACGGG